CAGUGGUUGGUUGAAAUUACAGAAAUACGACAACUUUAACAUGGAAUAAUUUAUGGAUUUCUUUUUUUUUAAAGAAGACUAAGAGAAAAAGAUGUUUUAUAUGACACAUUCUACCAGUGUUCCAAGUUUCAAAGUGUUUCGUUAAUGAAAAAUGUGGCCCCCGUUUUAAAAAAGAUCCGUAGUGGUGGUGGUAGUAGUAGUAGUAGUAGUAGCAGCAGCAGCAGUAGUAGUAGUGUGACUCAGACGGUGAUGUUGGUGUUGGCAGUGAAACUAAUGGACACAGAUAAGUCUCGGUGUUUAUUACAGUACAACAUACGUCUUGGUUGUUGUUGUUAAUUUGGCUUUUGUUGCAGAAGGUGCUAAUAAUGGUAGUGGUGCUGUCGAUGGCAUCGUUAUUACCAAAGUCAGUAUCGACUUCGUUAUCGUUAUUUCUGAUUGCUAUAAAUACAUCAUAUGGCAUUACCUGCAACGUAUUCCAUUUCCGGUGUUUUUUUACUUGGCAUCACUGCACUGUAUAAAAGAAAACAGAAACGAAGGAGAAAAAAAAGUAAGAAAGGAAAAAAAGAAAGAAAGAAAGAAAGAAAAAAUAAACACAACAAACAAAAAUGAAAAGUGUAUUGUUACUCAAAUUCGUUUUUUGGGCUUUUAUAAAUAAGCAGCCGAGGAAGUGAAGCACUACAUGGAUGUAGUAUAUUUUCCGGUAUAAACGAGUCGAAUUUUUCACACCAAAAUCUACAAUAAAAAAAAGGUUUUGUUGGAGCUUCUGGAGUCUUGCAUGCGUAGCGAACUUACUACCUGCAGCCUACGAUACCAUGUUAUUCAUUCUUUUCAGCUAUCUAUUACUUUUCUGAUUAUUCUGACCGUGCCAAGGAGGCAAACCUUUUGUAACAGUUCUACCAAGUACUCUAUUCCAAUUUCUUUUAUAUUCCUCUUGAUGCUUUCUGAUACGGUUCCCAAGGAUCCAAAUAUAAUUGGCACUAUCUUCACCUUCAUUUUCCAGAGCCGGGCUAUUUCGUACUUAAGAGGGUUGUAUCUAUCUAUCUUUUCACCUUCCUUCUUGACUGUUCGUGAGUCAAAGAGGCAUGCAACGUUAACUAUAUGUGAUGCACCUUGUCCACUACAACUAGGUCCGGUCUGUUAUGCUCUAGUACCUGAUCAUAUUAGAUAAAUAAUUAAAAGGCUAACUGUUCAUUGUUGGUUGUUGAAAUAUACAUAACUUUGUCAUUAAUUAUCAUCAAGAAAGCAAUCAAUGGCAGAAUCAGCGGCUCACCAGACAAACGUAUUAUGGUUUAAUUAUGUUUUCAAACGCAUUAAAUUCUAGGGCAGAGAUCAACUCUACUUUACAUCUCUCAUGAGUAAAGAAAAAUAUACGUUAAGAACUGGGGAAGAUCUUUCGUCUGUCCUUGCAUCCAAGUAAGGAAUUUUUAUCAGGAAUACAUUUGUCUAAGUCAGACAUUCCAAUCAAAACAACCUAAAGUCUGGUAAGUUAUCUAUAUUGGGAGAAGGCGCGUGGCUUAUUGGCUAGGGUAUUCGGCUCACUAUCGUAAAGCCGUGAGUUCGAUUUCCGGUCACGCGUCUUGAGCAAGAAAUUUAUUUCUCGUUCCUCCAGUCCAUUCAGCUGGCAAACAUGAGCUGUACCCGUAAUUUAAAGAGCCAACUUUCUCACACUCUAUGUCACACCGAAUCUUCCGAAGAAUUGCGUUAAGGGUACGCGUGGCUGGGAAGUGUCACUUAUACAUUAAUUUUACGAGCAGGCUGUUAGGUUGAUCGUAUCAACUGGAUCAUUCGUCGUUGUAACAGACGGAGAACCAGGCCAUCUACAGCGGAUACAAUAAAUUUCUUUUGAUCGUUUCAAUAUUUUAUUAAAUAUGUUUUCCAGAUAUAUAUCUUGCAUCUAGCGGGAGUUAAAAGAAAAAAAGUUUAAUUCUCGCUACUGCUCUAUCAAGUUAAACAAAAUACAUAUGUAGUUGUUGUGUUAGACUUCUAUAAUGACAGCGGUAUUCAUAUUUUAUUGGAGGCGGCCGAAAAUAAAAAUAGAAAUAAUGGUAAUAACAUGUCAGAAAGUCGAUGUGGUUGGUAACAAGAACAACAAAAAUAAGAACGCAAACAAAAGAAAACAAUAAUAUAACAAAAGUACCAGAAAUAUUUAAUAGUGAAAUUGCGAGAAAACAGUGUAAUUAGACAUAAUGCCAGUAACUGGACGAAACAGAAAACUUUCUCAACCAAACACAAUCGUGUCAACAGAAGUAUAGGCAACUGUCUUUUUAAAAUGUGCGAUGACAAUAAAAUUCUCACGUUCAAGCAGAGAAAUAAAGCAGAAAGGUUUGUGAGGUGCUUAUAUCGUAGUGUAUAAAAGAAAGACAUUCAGGAACGGUGAAAUAGAGACGCAAAAAUAUUCCGUAUUAUUGUGGAUAGCCUUGUGUGGUACUUAUAUGGUACAAUAUAAAAAAGGAUAUGGAACAGCAAAAGUGAUCUGAAUAAGGGAGCACAGCGCAAAAAUAUAUACUAUGCUGUUCUAUAGGUCUGG
Octopus bimaculoides (California two-spot octopus) is the source of this 2527-nucleotide long non-coding RNA. RefSeq lists it as uncharacterized. Lineage: Eukaryota; Metazoa; Mollusca; Cephalopoda; Octopoda; Octopodidae. The record is from RefSeq and is a predicted model, not a curated record.